CGAAGCAACGCGAAGAACCUUACCAGGUCUUGACAUCCCUGACAACCCGAGAGAUCGGGCGUUCCCCUUCGGGGGACAGGGUGACAGGUGGUGCAUGGUUGUCGUCAGCUCGUGUCGUGAGAUGUUGGGUUAAGUCCCGCAACGAGCGCAACCCUCGACCUUAGUUGCCAGCAUUCAGUUGGGCACUCUAAGGUGACUGCGGCUAAAAGUCGGAGGAAGGUGGGGAUGACGUCAAAUCAUCAUGCCCCUUAUGACCUGGGCUACACACGUGCUACAAUGGGCGGUACAAAGGGUCGCGAACCCGCGAGGGGGAGCCAAUCCCAAAAAGCCGCUCUCAGUUCGGAUUGCAGGCUGCAACUCGCCUGCAUGAAGCCGGAAUCGCUAGUAAUCGCGGAUCAGCAUGCCGCGGUCGAAUACGUUCCCGGGCCUU
Molecule: ribosomal RNA, 430 nt
Filed under: uncultured Anoxybacillus sp.
Lineage: Bacteria; Bacillati; Bacillota; Bacilli; Caryophanales; Anoxybacillaceae
Description: bacterial SSU rRNA
Rfam family: Bacterial small subunit ribosomal RNA
Source: RNAcentral